UACGUAGGGGGCGAGCGUUAUCCGGAUUCAUUGGGCGUAAAGCGCGCGUAGGCGGCCGCCUAAGCGGAACCUCUAACCCCGGGGCUCAACCUCGGGCCGGGUUCCGGACUGGGCGGCUCGAGUGUGGUAGAGGAGAGCGGAAUUCCCGGUGUAGCGGUGGAAUGCGCAGAUAUCGGGAAGAACACCGAUGGCGAAGGCAGCUCUCUGGGCCGUCACUGACGCUGAGGCGCGAAAGCUGGGGGAGCGAACAGG
This 252-nucleotide ribosomal RNA is filed under the name uncultured bacterium. RNAcentral describes it as "partial 16S ribosomal RNA". It matches the Rfam family "Bacterial small subunit ribosomal RNA", at positions 524 to 776 of the family's 1533-position model. The record is from RNAcentral.